AUAUGGCAUUGUCCACAUGUACAUACCAACAAAAAAAAAGACAUGUCCAAAUGUUAGCUAAGAAUAUGGCAUUGUCCACAUGUACAUACCAACAAAAAAAAGACAUGUCCAAAUGUUAGCUAAGAAGAAGCAACGAAAAUUGAAUACACUACUCCCCCAUUUCCUAAAUAUAAGACAUUUUAAAGAUUUAAAUAUAGAUUACAUACGGAUGUAUAUAUAGACAGAGUGAUUUCACUCAUAUUGCUCUGUAUGUGGUUUAUAUUAAAAUAUAUAAAAUAUCUUAUAUUUAGGAACAAAGGGAGUACAUGACUACCACAAGAAAACAAAGUGUAGACAAUUCACUCAUGUGAUUCUUACCACAAGAAACACAAAAUGAACAUACCAUGAGUUGACACGUACACGAUUUAGUUAUUCUCAUAUGAAGAUUGUGAUCUUGAGGGCCAACUAAAGAAGUGUAUUUCAGGUUGGCUUUUUCUUUUUCCAAAAAAAGAGAGAGGGGCAGCCCCGCCUCUGCCUCAUACGAUGCAGUUUUGGGAAAACGUCAUUGUUUACCCGAUUGAUCGUAGAGCACCCGUCGGUCACCUUCGGGUGACCCAUUCAAUCUACCUUUCAUUGAACGGUGCACAACACCCUAUACCAUAGGCUAGCUUUUGCAGCGUGACCCUUGUUACAUUCCCUUCGAGCAAACCAAGGGCAUGUUACAAAUGGGGUGGGGUGAGGUUAGGGCGUGCGGACCAAGAUGAGACUAUAGCGGGAACAUUCCAAUCCUCGGCGGCAGAGACCGACCAUGAUGAGGCAUGAACCAUCCUGCAAUACCAACUUGUUGCAGCUACUCCAUGGUGGUGGUAGGAGCCGAGAAUGUCUGUCACGACGAUAGAUGAAACAUGGGCCCUUGUUCAUCCAAGCAUCCCCGUACAAUGUGGUUUAAUG
Molecule: long non-coding RNA, 930 nt
Filed under: Hordeum vulgare
Lineage: Eukaryota; Viridiplantae; Streptophyta; Magnoliopsida; Poales; Poaceae
Description: long non-coding RNA (HVUL_LNC017982)
Source: RNAcentral